This 459-nucleotide ribosomal RNA is filed under the name uncultured bacterium. RNAcentral's name for it is "bacterial SSU rRNA". It matches the Rfam family "Bacterial small subunit ribosomal RNA", at positions 34 to 507 of the family's 1533-position model. The record is from RNAcentral.
CGCUGGCGGCGUGCCUAAUACAUGCAAGUCGAACGAGAUCCCCCGGAGCUUGCUCCGGGGGACAGUGGCGAACGGGUGAGUAACACGUGAGAAACCUGCCCUAGAGACCGGGACAACCGUUGGAAACGGCGGCUAAUACCGGAUGCCUUCACAUGGUCGCAUGGCCGAGUGAAGAAAUGCUCAGGUGCUCUAGGAGGGUCUCGCGGCCUAUCAGCUAGUUGGUGAGGUAACGGCUCACCAAGGCAUCGACGGGUAGCUGGUCUGAGAGGACGAUCAGCCACACUGGGACUGAGACACGGCCCAGACUCCUACGGGAGGCAGCAGUAGGGAAUCUUGCGCAAUGGGGGCAACCCUGACGCAGCAACGCCGCGUGUGGGAUGACGGCUUUCGGGUUGUAAACCACUUUCAGUGAUGACGAAAAUGACGGUAAUCACAGAAGAAGGUCCGGCCAACUACGUG